GGGGACGACUGGUUUUGACUGCAAGGUCAAUUAAGGUAUAAGCAUGUCGAGUAAUGAAAUAGCACUCGUAAAUCUCAAUUUCAAAAAUUUAAACGGCGAAGAUAACUACGCUUUAGCUGCUUAAUCCGAAUCACAGUAGGAUGAGCCUUGUCACACUAGGUGUGAAAGCUGAAUGUCUCUUGAAAGCCUUGGUUAGCGGCGGUCAAUAAAGAGGCAUCGUAAAAGUUAACAUAGAUUUGCCAUUGUUUCGUUGGCAUUUUGAAACUUAAGAAACUAAGCUUAAAGUGGGCUGUUUUCGGUCAGCUUUAAGUCGAAAACCAAUCGAAAAAUAAACAUGUAGAAAGUAUUUUGGUUGCUUGUUUGGACCCGGGUUCGAUUCCCGGCGUCUCCACUA
Molecule: non-coding RNA, 394 nt
Organism: Lutibacter sp. BRH_c52
Lineage: Bacteria; Pseudomonadati; Bacteroidota; Flavobacteriia; Flavobacteriales; Flavobacteriaceae
Source: Rfam